Molecule: ribosomal RNA, 468 nt
Filed under: uncultured bacterium
Lineage: Bacteria
Description: partial 16S ribosomal RNA
Rfam family: Bacterial small subunit ribosomal RNA
Source: RNAcentral
GACGAACGCUGGCGGCGGGCUUAACACAUGCAAGUCGAACGGAAAGGCCCUGCUUUUGUGUGGUGCUCGAGUGGCGAACGGGUGAGUAACACGUGAGUAACCUGCCCUUGACUUUGGGAUAACUUCAGGAAACUGGGGCUAAUACCAGAUAGGAGCUCCUGCUGCUUGGUGGGGGUUGGAAAGUUUCGGCGGUUGGGGAUGGACUCGCGGCUUAUCAGCAUGUUGGUGGGGUAGUGGCUUACCAAGGCUUUGACGGGUAGCCGGCCUGAGAGGGUGACCGGCAACAUUAGGAGUGAGAUACGGCCCAGACUCGUACGGGAGGCAGCAGUGGGGAAUAUUGCACAAUGGGCGGAAGCCUGAUGCAGCAACGCCGCGUGCGGGAUGACGGCCUUCGGGUUGUAAACCGCUUUCGCCUGUGACGAAGCGUGAGUGACGGUAAUGGGGAAAGAAGCACCGGCUAACUACGUG